RNAcentral lists this long non-coding RNA (470 nucleotides) under Gallus gallus (chicken). RNAcentral describes it as "long non-coding RNA NONGGAT000020". Lineage: Eukaryota; Metazoa; Chordata; Aves; Galliformes; Phasianidae. The record is from RNAcentral.
UAAAACUGGAAGGAGAAGAAUCUUCAGGCAGUGAAGAAGACAACUUGCAAACAGCCAAACUUUCUGCAGCCACCUGCAGGCUGAAGAAAAAGCUCUGCAUGCAGUUUGCAACAGAAACUGAGCACGCAGCCAUUCCUGGAACCAACAGUUGUGUUCGGGGGAGAUGAAAACCCUCACUGUGAAUGGGGGGAAUUUCCAACUGCUGUCUGCUGGUGGUUGGUGAAGCACAAUGUCAAGAUGGAAUAUUUUCUAGCACUGCUGGAGAAGCAGCACCUUGGGCUCAGAAGUGCUGGUAAGAGAGUUUUCCAGAGGGGCCUCAGUGCUCAAACACCUCGAGGGAAAGUCUUUGCAUUGUUUGACUGACCCACAUCUGGUUGUAACUAAAAUAAACUUAUUAAAAUAGAGGUCCCCCCUAUUCCUGUUAAACUGGUGUGUCAGCCCCACAGCUGCUUUGCAGAGUGCAGUGAGAA